AUACGGAGGACGCGAGCGUUAUCCGGAUUCAUUGGGUUUAAAGGGUGCGCAGGCGGCCGUGCAAGUCAGCGGUGAAAGCCCGGGGCUCAACCCCGGAAGUGCCGUUGAUACUGCAUGGCUGGAAUGCGGUCGAGGCGGGCGGAACCUGGGGGGUAGGGGUGAAAUGCGUAGAUAUGCCACAGAACACCGACAGCGGAGGCAGCUCGCCAGGCCUGCAUUGACGCUCGGGCACGAAAGCGUGGGGAUCGAACAGGAUUAGAUACCCUGGUAGUCCACGCCGUAAACGAUGGGCGCUCGUCGUCGGCGGCAGACAGUCGGCGGCCAAGCGAAAGCGAUAAGCGCCCCACCUGGGGAGUACGGUCGCAAGGCUGAAACUUAAAGGAAUUGACGGG
This 392-nucleotide ribosomal RNA is filed under the name uncultured bacterium. Its description in RNAcentral is "partial 16S ribosomal RNA". It matches the Rfam family "Bacterial small subunit ribosomal RNA", at positions 523 to 917 of the family's 1533-position model. The record is from RNAcentral.